RNAcentral lists this ribosomal RNA (440 nucleotides) under uncultured bacterium. RNAcentral's name for it is "partial 16S ribosomal RNA". It matches the Rfam family "Bacterial small subunit ribosomal RNA", at positions 338 to 795 of the family's 1533-position model. The record is from RNAcentral.
CCUACGGGAGGCAGCAGUGGGGAAUAUUGCACAAUGGGGGAAACCCUGAUGCAGCGACGCCGCGUGAGCGAAGAAGUAUUUCGGUAUGUAAAGCUCUAUCAGCAGGGAAGAAAAUGACGGUACCUGAGUAAGAAGCUCCGGCUAAAUACGUGCCAGCAGCCGCGGUAAUACGUAUGGAGCAAGCGUUAUCCGGAUUUACUGGGCGUAAAAGGCGUGUAGCCGGGCUGACAAGUCAGAUGUGAAAUCCGGGGGCUCAACCCCCGAACUGCAUUUGAAACUGUUGGUCUUGAGUAUCGGAGAGGCAGGCGGAAUUCCUAGUGUAGCGGUGAAAUGCGUAGAUAUUAGGAGGAACACCAGUGGCGAAGGCGGCCUGCUGGACGACAACAGACGGUGAGGCGCGAAAGCGUGGGGAGCAAACAGGAUUAGAUACCCCUGUAGUC